RNAcentral lists this long non-coding RNA (199 nucleotides) under Erythranthe guttata (spotted monkey flower). RNAcentral describes it as "long non-coding RNA (EGUT_LNC000684)". Lineage: Eukaryota; Viridiplantae; Streptophyta; Magnoliopsida; Lamiales; Phrymaceae. The record is from RNAcentral.
GAUCGCGAUCUGGGGUCGAAAAACAGUUCAAAAAGCACAAACCCCCUUCAUUUUCUUAUUUCCCCUUUUUCUAAUUCCAAACCCUAACCCCUCCCCAAUUUCAAAAUCUUCAAUUUCUUUCAUAAAAAGCACAUCAAUCACACACUUGAACAUCACAAAUUCACGAUUUGCACAUUUACUCCAAGAAUUUGUGGGUGAA